Gorilla gorilla gorilla (western lowland gorilla) is the source of this 73-nucleotide small nucleolar RNA. NCBI's taxonomy places the organism in Eukaryota, Metazoa, Chordata, Mammalia, Primates, Hominidae. The record is from Ensembl.
UGAAUCAAUGGUGACCACUGGUGGCAUAUAAGUCAUGGAUGGUGAAUAUGAGAAGAAAAGAAUCUAGGUUUUU